AUUCCAGCUCCAAUAGCGUAUAUUAAAGUUGUUGCGGUUAAAAAGCUCGUAGUUGGAUUUCUGGGUUCAUCGCUAGCUUUGGUCCGCAAGGGCUUCAGUGGGCUGUUUGAAUCCAUCCUCAGGGGGACCCAUGCUGGUAUUCAUUUAUCGGUGUGGGAACGCCUGUCGUUUACUGUGAACAAAUUAGAGUGUUCAAAGCAAGGUGUACUUGAAUACAUUAGCAUGGAAUAAUAAGAUAGGACUUUGGUGGUUCUUUUUGAUAUUUUGUUGGUUUGCACGCCAAAGUAAUGAUUAAUAGGAGCAGUUGGGGGUAUUCGUAUUCAAUUGUCAGAGGUGAAAUUCUUGGAUUUAUAGAAGACGAACUACUGCGAAAGCAUUUACCAAGGAUGUUUUCAUUA
Molecule: ribosomal RNA, 398 nt
Filed under: Apedinella sp.
Lineage: Eukaryota; Dictyochophyceae; Pedinellales
Description: partial small subunit ribosomal RNA
Rfam family: Eukaryotic small subunit ribosomal RNA
Source: RNAcentral